UACGUAGGGGGCAAGCGUUGUCCGGAUUUAUUGGGCGUAAAGAGCGUGUAGGCGGCCUGGUAGGUCAGCUGUGAAAACUCGAGGCUCAACUUCGAGCUGUCGGUGGAAACUUUCUGGCUAGAGUCCGGAAGAGGAGAAUGGAAUUCCUGGUGUAGCGGUGAAAUGCGCAGAUAUCAGGAGGAACACCGGUGGCGAAGGCGGGUCUCUGGGCCGUAACUGACGCUGAGGAGCGAAAGCGUGGGGAGCGAACAGG
This 253-nucleotide ribosomal RNA is filed under the name uncultured bacterium. RNAcentral's name for it is "partial 16S ribosomal RNA". It matches the Rfam family "Bacterial small subunit ribosomal RNA", at positions 524 to 776 of the family's 1533-position model. The record is from RNAcentral.